Molecule: ribosomal RNA, 253 nt
Filed under: uncultured bacterium
Lineage: Bacteria
Description: partial 16S ribosomal RNA
Rfam family: Bacterial small subunit ribosomal RNA
Source: RNAcentral
UACGGAGGGGGCUAGCGUUGUUCGGAGUUACUGGGCGUAAAGGGUGUGUAGGCGGUUCUUUAAGUUUGGUGUGAAAUCUCCCGGCUCAACUGGGAGGGUGCGCCGAAUACUGAGGGACUAGAGUACGGGAGAGGAAAGUGGAAUUCCUGGUGUAGCGGUGAAAUGCGUAGAUAUCAGGAGGAACACCGGUGGUGUAGACGGCUUUCUGGACCGACACUGACGCUGAAACACGAAAGCGUGGGUAGCAAACAGG